CAAGAGACGCUCAGACGGCAGACACUGUUAGUCUUAUUCGUUCAAAGGCGUAGAAGUUCUCUGAAAGAACUGGCGUCCAUGAGUGAAAUUGUCUUGGUGUUUUGCUAAUUAUUUUAGUGCUUUGCGAAUUAUUUUAUUUGUAUUUUAUGGAGUGCGGCGAGACUGCUACUGCUGCCUGAUGAGGGACUCAUAUGGUGUCUCUAGAGGUAAGGGAUAUUCCACCAUGGUGCUAUUGGAAUCUUCUAGAUAUGAAAUGCAAAAUGCCUGAACCUUGGAGGGUUUACGAAUCCUUAGGGUAUUUGCAGUCUUAAUCACUUUGGAUCAGUAAGGUUAGAUUCUGUAAUUGAUGAAAAGAUUACUGCCGAGUAAGUUUUUAAAUUGCUAUCACAUUUCGUAAUAGGUUUGUAAAAUAGAAUUAGAAAGUUUUUGUCAGCUUCUCAAAGGCGUUUAUAGUUUUAAUAGUUUCAGAUAAUAUUAAAAGUAAUAUUUGAAUUAACCCCAGAUAAUUCCUUAAGGUUAGGAUAUUUGGGAUGGUACAUGUAACUGCUAUAAAUAUUUCAUUGUUGGCGAAGAAAAUGGCUUAAUAAUAUUUGAGGGAUACUUGGUGAUUUAUUAGACUUUGUUAAUUUCUUAAUUCUUAUUCCCUUUUUUAUCUUGUGAUGCUUCACGAACACUCGUGGGUAUAAUAUUUAUAUACCAUUUCAUUAGUACCUCUCUUAAUAUUGUGUAGAUAUUCAUUUGCAUGCCGUUUAUCUUAUUUUUGUUUUUAUUGGUAUUUCUUGAAAUUUAUAUAUUUUUUUUCAAAAUUUACCAUGCAUGUGAUGUGUGCAGUUUUGCCAUUAUUUAUGCACUUUAUUUUAUUUCCAUUUUGCAUAGUUUUGUAGUUCAUUGUGUACAUUUCUGUGCCGUAUAUCACCUAUGCUUGCAGUUUCAUUUUAUUGCUUAUUGUAUUCACAGAUGCUUUUUAUUUCCAGUAACACAUUAUAAUAUAAUAUUUAGGCUAUCCAGAAUUAAGUUAGUAUGGGAAUUUGCCAGUUUCCAAGAUCUUUUAAAUUUGUAAUCGUUUUCUUGUAAUUCAUAAGUCUUUCUAGGAUUGCUAUGUAAAACACACUACCUUGUCUUAGCGUUUAAUUUUAUCAAUUUUGAAUAAGCUCCUGAACAACAGUGAUAAAAUUUGUUUAUUAGUUGAAUAAGUUAAACUUGAGUCGUUGUCAUUAGAAUUUUUAUUUUUAUACCAGAUGUAAUUUUUCAAAUGUUAGGUGGUCAUUCUGGAUAGUCUCAUAAUCUACGCUAUAUCAUCGCUCAAGACCCCAAAAGGUAUGGAAAUUUCAAUUGUUCUCGAAUUCACCAGCAUCUUUAAUAUUUCUCUUAGGGUGUGCCAUGUAGGAGUAAUAAGAAAUAAAUUUUCGAAUUGAGUUUUUGAAGUGCACUACAUUUUCAGUCAGUAGUAGUUUAUUAACGCAUUUUGCACUGUGGUGUUGGCUUUUGUUUGAAUGGUGUUGCAACAGGGAAUGUGAUGCCUUCAUCUUGCCUAGGCUUGAUGAAAAUAAAAUGGCUCAUAAGGUGACUAAGAAAAGUGAGACGCAUUCUCGACUCUUAUUAAAUUCUGAAGAAACUGGUGUACCCGUCCCCCUAGGUAGACGGAAGGUCCAAACUUAGCGGUCUGAUACUAAGGCAAUCGGUGUCGCGCAAACAAAAAUCUUCUAACCUUACAUAUUCCGUCCUUAAUACAUUAGGUAUUUAGUCUGCCAUUCUUGAACUCUGUGGGUUGUGGUCCUAUGAUAAUUGGCCAGUAGGCAGUCUCCCAAUCAUUCUUAUUUCACUCGCGGGUGUUAGAAUGCUUCUUGGCCCAGCUUUCCAGAUGGUAUAACUGUUUUUGUGACAUUAUCUUUUUUAACUACAGCCUUUUCAGUGUACUCAAAGUUCAAGAUGGUGUAUUAUUAAUAUUAGUUUUUAGUGACAUUUUAUAAUCUUUGUUUCUAUAGUCCAGAUAUUUUCGAAUUUUGAAAGCACAUAUUUUGUAGAUUAACUAGAUGGGAGAUUUAACAUUGAGCCUGCAAAAUAUAUUCACCCCGUUUUGGUAACUACAGACAGUCUUCAAUAUUUAACAAAGUUCCCCCUUUCUGCCCGUUAAAAUGAGAUGUGUUUAUUAUAAAAGUGUAUAUAAAAUAUAUUUGUGCAUAUAAAAUAUAUUUGCGUAUGCAAUACAUACAUACAGGGCCCCUGGCUCUUUUCCUUGGUGAACUUUCCCUACUUUUCGAAUUUUUUCUAAGGACCUUAUCUCUAAAAUUAUUACUAAUUGUUUUUUGUUCCUACACGAUAUACAAA
Macrobrachium nipponense is the source of this 2328-nucleotide long non-coding RNA. RefSeq lists it as uncharacterized. Lineage: Eukaryota; Metazoa; Arthropoda; Malacostraca; Decapoda; Palaemonidae. The record is from RefSeq and is a predicted model, not a curated record. The transcript has 2 exons.